This 497-nucleotide ribosomal RNA is filed under the name uncultured bacterium. RNAcentral's name for it is "partial 16S ribosomal RNA". It matches the Rfam family "Bacterial small subunit ribosomal RNA", at positions 28 to 507 of the family's 1533-position model. The record is from RNAcentral.
GAUGAACGCUGGCGGCGUGCCUAAUACAUGCAAGUCGAGCGAACAGACGAGGAGCUUGCUCCUCUGACGUUAGCGGCGGACGGGUGGGUAACACGUGGAUAACCUACCUAUAAGACUGGGAUAACUUCGGGAAACCGGAGCUAAUACCGGAUAAUAUAUUGAACCGCAUGGUUCAAUAGUGAAAGACGGUUUUGCUGUCACUUAUAGAUGGAUCCGCGCCGCAUUAGCUAGUUGGUAAGGUAACGGCUUACCAAGGCAACGAUGCGUAGCCGACCUGAGAGGGUGAUCGGCCACACUGGAACUGAGACACGGUCCAGACUCCUACGGGAGGCAGCAGUAGGGAAUCUUCCGCAAUGGGCGAAAGCCUGACGGAGCAACGCCGCGUGAGUGAUGAAGGUCUUCGGGUCGUAAAACUCUGUUAUUAGGGAAGAACAAAUGUGUAAGUAACUAUGCACGUCUUGACGGUACCUAAUCAGAAAGCCACGGCUAACUACGUG